CCUACGGGGGGCUGCAGUGGGGAAUAUUGGACAAUGGGGGGAACCCUGAUCCAGCCAUGCCGCGUGUGUGAAGAAGGCCCUCGGGUUGUAAAGCACUUUCAGGGAGGAAGAACGCCUGGUGGUUAAUACCCAUCAGGAAAGACAUCACUCACAGAAGAAGCACCGGCUAACUCCGGGCCAGCAGCCGCGGUAAUACGGAGGGUGCGAGCGUUAAUCGGAAUUACUGGGCGUAAAGCGCGCGUAGGUGGCUUGAUAAGCCGGUUGUGAAAGCCCCGGGCUCAACCUGGGAACGGCAUCCGGAACUGUCAAGCUAGAGUGCAGGAGAGGAAGGUAGAAUUCCCGGUGUAGCGGUGAAAUGCGUAGAGAUCGGGAGGAAUACCAGUGGCGAAGGCGGCCUUCUGGACUGACACUGACACUGAGGUGCGAAAGCGUGGGUAGCAAACAGGAUUAGAUACCCGUGUAGUC
This 465-nucleotide ribosomal RNA is filed under the name Vreelandella stevensii. RNAcentral describes it as "partial 16S ribosomal RNA". It matches the Rfam family "Bacterial small subunit ribosomal RNA", at positions 338 to 795 of the family's 1533-position model. Lineage: Bacteria; Pseudomonadati; Pseudomonadota; Gammaproteobacteria; Oceanospirillales; Halomonadaceae. The record is from RNAcentral.